RNA transcript from Molossus molossus (Pallas's mastiff bat), 1806 nucleotides. It is a transcript of the gene named tubulin tyrosine ligase like 1, with no coding region annotated. NCBI's taxonomy places the organism in Eukaryota, Metazoa, Chordata, Mammalia, Chiroptera, Molossidae. The record is from RefSeq and is a predicted model, not a curated record. The transcript is spliced from 13 exons.
GUGCGGGGCCGCCCUGCUCUGUGCCCCUCGGCGCUGCUCCGCGCUCUGCGCCCACAGGUACGAACACAAGGCGAGCGAGGCAAGAGUCGGUGAAACUGAAGAGAACUGGACGUUUGGCUCCAUAAGGACCUAUGGAUUAUGGCAGGAAAGGUGAAGUGGGUCACUGAUAUCGAGAAGUCCGUGCUGAUCAAUAACUUUGAAAAGAGAGGAUGGGUCCAGGUGACAGAAAGCGAGGACUGGAAUUUUUACUGGAUGAGCGUGCAGACCAUCCGAAACAUCUUCAGUGUCGAAACAGGCUAUCGGCUCUCAGACGAUCAAAUAGUCAACCACUUUCCCAACCACUACGAACUGACGCGGAAGGACCUGAUGGUGAAGAACAUUAAAAGAUACAGGAAAGAGCUGGAGAAAGAAGGGAGUCCUCUGGCAGAGAAAGAUGAGAAUGGAAAAUACCUCUAUCUGGACUUUGUCCCAGUCACCUACAUGCUGCCUGCCGACUACAACCUGUUCGUGGAGGAGUUCAGGAAAAGUCCCUCCAGCACCUGGAUCAUGAAGCCUUGUGGCAAAGCCCAGGGCAAGGGCAUCUUUCUGAUCAACAAGCUCUCGCAAAUCAAAAAGUGGUCCCGGGACAGCAAAACAUCCUCGUUUGUGUCUCAGUCCACGAAGGAAGCCUACGUGAUCUCUCUCUACAUCAACAACCCGUUACUAAUCGGCGGGAGGAAGUUCGACCUGCGCUUGUACGUCCUGGUGUCCACGUACCGCCCGCUGCGCUGUUACAUGUACAAGCUCGGCUUCUGCCGCUUCUGCACAGUGAAGUACACCCCCAGCACCAGCGAGCUGGACAACAUGUUCGUGCACCUCACCAACGUGGCCAUUCAGAAACACGGGGAGGACUACAACCACAUCCACGGGGGCAAGUGGACAGUGAGCAACCUGCGGCUGUACCUGGAGAGCACCCGAGGCAAGGAGGUGACCAGCAAGCUGUUCGACGAGAUCCACUGGAUCAUCGUGCAGUCGCUGAAGGCCGUGGCGCCGGUGAUGAACAACGACAAGCACUGCUUUGAGUGCUACGGCUACGACAUCAUCAUAGACGACAGGCUGAAGCCCUGGCUGAUCGAGGUUAACGCGUCCCCGUCGCUCACCUCCAGCACGGCCAACGAUCGGAUCCUUAAGUAUAACCUGAUCAACGACACCCUCAACAUCGCAGUCCCUAACGGCGAGAUUCCAGACUGUAAAUGGAACAAGUCCCCCCCGAAGGAGGUCCUGGGCAAUUACGAAGUUCUGUACGACGAAGAGCUGGCGCAGGGUGACGGGGCUGACCGUGAGCUGAGAAGUCGUUCGGGCCAGUCGGUAGGGCCCCGAGGGGGCCGCUCGAGAGACUCGGGGAGAGCGGUCCUCACCACCUGGAAGUGAGCGCAGGAGGGGAAACAGGCAGCCGAAAGUAUUCCGCAGUCACCUGCCUUUACAAAGACCUCUGCCUCAGUGCGCUCGGAAGACAGCAGUCUUGUCAUCCCAGCUUUGUGGGUGGACAUCUCGUGCUCUGAGCCUCUGCGUCGGACCGGGCUGGAGGCCUGGCUCUGCCAUUCACUAGUUAGUCCCAAGGCUGCCGGCGGCUCUUUGGACCUUGGUUUCCUACGUGUAUCAAAAGGGUGUUAAUUCCACUUGCCUGAGAAGUCACAGGUGCCAGUGCCGGCCCCGCCCGGCUAGGGACAGCGACUGUCUUCCUAUCCAGGGGGGUGUCACCCCUGUGGCCGUGGCCUCCACCUCGGCUUCCACAGCGUCCACCUGCUGGUUCUACAACCCAGCUUC